GGGUAGAACGGGGAUAGGACCUGACUCCAAAGCCCCAAGUGUACCCUUUAGCUUCCUGAACCUAUGCUUUCCCAGGGCAGGGAUGCUUCCCCACUUGCAGAAUCUCAGGUAAGGAAUGAGUAAUGGUUGCUAUUGAGUCUGCUGGUCCUUUGGGCCUAAGGAGAGUUAGCACCCACGAGGAUGCAACAAGGCUGUGGCAAGCCCUGAGAAAUUUCAGCACCAGGCUCGAACCACCUAGGCACCUGCUUGAGGGUCUUUCCCCUCCCCCAGUUCCGUCUUGCUGCCUCUCUUUUCUCUGAGAAACCUCUUUAGAGAGAGGUUGGGAGGUCCCUUAAGCAAACAUUUCCCUUUGGGUACACAAGGGCAGUCCUGAAAACGCCCCUGUCUCCCAUCGCCCGGUUGGUUUGCCACUUAACCAAUCAGAGCCCCCGGUUCCACGUGGUCACGGGUGAUCACUAAAGCUUCUCCAAGUUAGGUUGACUUGGCUGCAGGUUGGUCCCCCACCUCAGGUCAUUUCCUCUUUUUGGUCAGAGUCCCUCUCAAAUGACUGACUCCUCUCCUGGCUGUUUCAAAGCAGAAGAUAUUCUCUCAUAGGUCCUGUGCUAGCAUUCAGUUGUUGCUGUCCCCAUGCUAUCGUGGAGACAUGGGGCAGCAGGGUGGGCUGUAAAGUUGGACCAACCAACAUUGAUUAAAAAAAAAA
RNAcentral lists this long non-coding RNA (700 nucleotides) under Rattus norvegicus (Norway rat). RNAcentral describes it as "long non-coding RNA NONRATT013346". Lineage: Eukaryota; Metazoa; Chordata; Mammalia; Rodentia; Muridae. The record is from RNAcentral.